AGUGAAAUUGAACUUGCUGUGAAGAUGCAGUGUACCCGCGGCAAGACGGAAAGACCCCGUGAACCUUUACUAUAGCUUGACACUGAACAUUGAGCCUUGAUGUGUAGGAUAGGUGGGAGGCUUUGAAGUGUGGACGCCAGUCUGCAUGGAGCCGACCUUGAAAUACCACCCUUUAAUGUUUGAUGUUCUAACGUUGACCCGUAAUCCGGGUUGCGGACAGUGUCUGGUGGGUAGUUUGACUGGGGCGGUCUCCUCCUAAAGAGUAACGGAGGAGCACGAAGGUUGGCUAAUCCUGGUCGGACAUCAGGAGGUUAGUGCAAUGGCAUAAGCCAGCUUGACUGCGAGCGUGACGGCGCGAGCAGGUGCGAAAGCAGGUCAUAGUGAUCCGGUGGUUCUGAAUGGAAGGGCCAUCGCUCAACGGAUAAAAGGUACUCCGGGGAUAACAGGCUGAUACCGCCCAAGAGUUCAUAUCGACGGCGGUGUUUGGCACCUCGAUGUCGGCUCAUCACAUCCUGGGGCUGAAGUAGGUCCCAAGGGUAUGGCUGUUCGCCAUUUAAAGUGGUACGCGAGCUGGGUUUAGAACGUCGUGAGACAGUUCGGUCCCUAUCUGCCGUGGGCGCUGGAGAACUGAGGGGGGCUGCUCCUAGUACGAGAGGACCGGAGUGGACGCAUCACUGGUGUUCGGGUUGUCAUGCCAAUGGCACUGCCCGGUAGCUAAAUGCGGAAGAGAUAAGUGCUGAAAGCAUCUAAGCACGAAACUUGCC
This 764-nucleotide ribosomal RNA is filed under the name Escherichia coli. RNAcentral describes it as "partial 23S ribosomal RNA". It matches the Rfam family "Bacterial large subunit ribosomal RNA", at positions 2035 to 2798 of the family's 2925-position model. The record is from RNAcentral. Lineage: Bacteria; Pseudomonadati; Pseudomonadota; Gammaproteobacteria; Enterobacterales; Enterobacteriaceae.